UYAGUVCGAGUGAUGACCGAUCUUAUUGGGCCUAAAGCGUCCGUAGCUGGCUGCGCAAGUCCGUCGGGAAAUCCACUCGCCCAACGAGUGGGCGUCCGACGGAAACUGCACAGCUUGGGACCGGAAGGCUCGAAGGGUACGUUCGGGGUAGGAGUGAAAUCCCAUAAUCCCGCACGGACCACCGAUGGCGAAAGCACUUCGAGAAAACGGAUCCGACAGUGAGGGACGAAAGCCAGGGUCUCCAACCGGAUUAGAUACCCGGGUAGUCCUGGCUGUAAACAAUGUUCGCUAGGUAUGACACAGACUACGUGUCUCUGUUGUGCCGUAGGGAAGCCGAG
Molecule: ribosomal RNA, 338 nt
Filed under: uncultured Haloquadratum sp.
Lineage: Archaea; Methanobacteriati; Methanobacteriota; Halobacteria; Halobacteriales; Haloferacaceae
Description: bacterial SSU rRNA
Rfam family: Archaeal small subunit ribosomal RNA
Source: RNAcentral